This 63-nucleotide ribosomal RNA is filed under the name uncultured metazoan. Its description in RNAcentral is "partial 28S ribosomal RNA". The record is from RNAcentral. Lineage: Eukaryota; Metazoa.
UUAGUGUCGACCUCAGACGAGCGAGAUUGCCCGCUGAAUUUAAGCAUAUCAAUAAGCGGAGGA